This 918-nucleotide ribosomal RNA is filed under the name uncultured archaeon. RNAcentral's name for it is "bacterial SSU rRNA". It matches the Rfam family "Archaeal small subunit ribosomal RNA", at positions 1 to 924 of the family's 1478-position model. The record is from RNAcentral.
UCUGGUUGAUCCUGCCAGAGGUUACUGCUAUCGAGGUUCGACUAAGCCAUGCGAGUCGAAUGUAGCAAUACAUGGCGAACUGCUCAGUAACACGUGGACAACCUGCCCUUAGGUCGGGGAUAAACCCGGGAAACUGGGUAUAAUACCCGAUAGGUCUCGAUUGCUGGAAUGCAUCGAGAUUUAAAGCUCCGGCGCCUAAGGAUGGGUCUGCGGCCUAUCAGGUAGUAGUGGGUGUAGCGUACCUACUAGCCUACGACGGGUACGGGUUGUGAGAGCAAGAGCCCGGAGAUGGAUUCUGAGACACGAAUCCAGGCCCUACGGGGUGCAGCAGGCGCGAAAACUUUACAAUGCUGGCAACAGCGAUAAGGGAACCUCGAGUGCCAGGUUACAAAUCUGGCUGUCGAGAUGCCUAAAAAGCAUUUCAUAGCAAGGGCCGGGCAAGACCGGUGCCAGCCGCCGCGGUAACACCGGCGGCUCGAGUGGUAACCGUUAUUAUUGGGUCUAAAGGGUCUGUAGCCGGCCGGAUAAGUCUCUUGAGAAAUCUGGCAGCUUAACUGUCAGGCUUUCAGGAGAUACUGUCUGGCUCGAGGCCGGGAGAGGUGAGAGGUACUUCAGGGGUAGGGGUGAAAUCUUGUAAUCCUUGAAGGACCACCAGUGGCGAAGGCGUCUCACCAGAACGGACCUGACGGCAAGGGACGAAAGCUAGGGGCACGAACCGGAUUAGAUACCCGGGUAGUCCUAGCCGUAAACGAUACUCGCUAGGUGUCGGCCACGGUGCGACCGUUGUCGGUGCCGUAGGGAAGCCGUGAAGCGAGCCACCUGGGAAGUACGGCCGCAAGGCUGAAACUUAAAGGAAUUGGCGGGGGAGCACCACAACGGGUGGGAGCUUGCGGUUUAAUUUGGAUUCAACGCCCGGAA